This is a long non-coding RNA of Ictalurus punctatus (channel catfish), 1964 nucleotides long. RefSeq lists it as uncharacterized. NCBI's taxonomy places the organism in Eukaryota, Metazoa, Chordata, Actinopteri, Siluriformes, Ictaluridae. The transcript has 3 exons. The record is from RefSeq and is a predicted model, not a curated record.
CCGGACUCAGAAGGAACCCGUCCUCAUCCGGGGAACGACGGAUAGUGUGAAAGUAAAAGAAAGUUCGUUAUGGUUUUAUAUGAAGGCUCUUUGUUGAACUAGUCCACUGUUCACUAAAGGAGACCCGAGUGCAGAACUGUAUGAGGUAAGUGCAGUCCCGAGGCCAUCGCAGCAACCGUUACCACAGCAACCACAGCGAGAACAUCCAUGUGGAAUUGAGGUCCAAAACCAUUUCUGUGGAACUUCAACUUAAAAUCAUGUGUAGCUCGACACGUCAAUGAGUUAGUCAGUCAGUGAGCGUUAACUGGUUAUUGCUUAAUGUAGUUCUUGGAGUUCAGCCUACUGUAUGUGUGUAGAUUCACUUAUUCCUACACCUCAGUGCCACAUUCUGUUUAAUAACUGCUGCGUACUCAUUACAUGAGGUGUUCAUCACAUCACUGUAAUACGCUAUGCUAUGUUGAGCUGUUAUAUGCUGCACUAUGGGUUAUAGUGUAAUAACAGAGACUCGGGGUUCGGUAUAAUAAUUCGGUAUGUCCACUCUCCAGGAGGCCAGAUCUGUGAGGAGCUGAUGAUCUUGUUGAGGUGUGCACAGGUUCUCUCAUUGUUAGUGAGCUCUGUAACUCCUUCGGUGUUGUAGCUGGACAUUUCCCUGACGGUCGGCCUUCUUCCCUGUGCGUUCGGUUUGGAAGGAGGGCCUGGAAUUUGCCUUGCAGCUGGCGUCCGCUCUCUCCUGCCAGACAGCGGCCCGGUGGAAACGCCACCAGACGAAACCCAGACGGGCACCACCGUACCAAGUUCAUGUGCGCUUGUGGCAAGACACGGGUAUUGCAGUGGGUAGCGCUGUCAGCCAGGCAGUGGUCCACUGAGAUGACGCCGUGGUCGAGGAUGGACGCAGUGCGGCAGAGGACAUCGGGCGACGCUCAGACGCCACACAGAGCCUGGCCCAUGACCCAGCGUUCCAGCCUCUCAGGUGAUGUGCGGGCGGAUGGACUUUGAAAAGUCUCAGCGUUGCCAUGACGACUGAUUAACUCCAUCAUUCAAUGCUUAGCAACAGUGACCAGAAAAACAUCUGUCCUGAAACAGUGAACAUGAUGAACUACGAUAAGAGCAGCUUCAUUACCUACCCCUCUCUCUCUCUCUCUCUCUCUCUCUCUCUCUCACACACACACACACACACACCGAAUUCUCUACUCAUAACAGAAACUGAACAGCAGCUUUAUUAUAAAAGUAAAAGAUUAAAAUCUGAUUAUUUAUCGGAUAAUCAGACGUGUGUUUAUCUGUGCUUUGGUGAUUGAUUCUCUCACUCUCCGCUUUAGAUUGAAGCAUCACGUCAAAUUCACUCCAGACUUCUGCGUGAUAACAUAUACCCUCUGAGGAAACAUUCUGAUGGGCGUGGCCUCUUCCGGGACAGGUCCGCCCCCAUACACGGUGCACAAGGGUCGAACUGAUCGCUUUGAAGAAGAUGAAAAGAUCUACAGAUCAUCAAACCAGCAGCUGAGGGAAUCUCCCACAGUUCCACAGACUGGUUCUGAACGCGUUCCCGUGCACUAAAGACAUCAUCGACACACUUCAUGUCGGGUUUUUCUUUAAAUUCUUAACAAGUUCGCAUGCCAUUUAGGCAGAAGAGUAACACACGGUAACACCAUGCCCUCAUCCAUGAUGAGUCUUCCUGUGGAGUCAGAGCAGAGGGCCGGAGCGGAGUGUUACCCCAACACAGUCCUUAUCCCGUAUAAAUCGAGUCACAUGGCAUCGUAGAACAGUUCAAUAAUAAACAUGGCGGACAGAUCGGUCAUACCGUUAUAAUAUACAGUACAGCAGGACCAACGAGCAGUAAAUAAACCAACAAACACUAAAUAAACCAACAAACACUAAAUAAACCAACAAACACUAAAUAAACCAACGAGCAGUAAAUAAACCAACAAACACUAAAUAAACCAACAAACACUAAAUAAACCAACAAACAC